ACUAAUUUCCCUGUUCUAUGCUUCCUACUUUCUCAUUUCCGAUGGAGCCACUUUUUAUUUUCAUGUUACGCUCUCACAUCAUUAAAAUUUCAAAUGAAUUGUUCUGUUAAAUUUCUAUGUAUACCUGUGAUAAAUUUCUAUGUAUACCUGUGAUUGUUGAUGAUUCUUCUACACAAUUUAACUUCAGUCAUUUGCAAACAGUUGUUGAAAUAUACUAUCGAACUAUAGCCACUUUA
This 236-nucleotide long non-coding RNA is filed under the name Salvia miltiorrhiza (redroot sage). Its description in RNAcentral is "long non-coding RNA (SMIL_LNC007119)". The record is from RNAcentral. Lineage: Eukaryota; Viridiplantae; Streptophyta; Magnoliopsida; Lamiales; Lamiaceae.